AUUUUUCCUUCCUAAGUGUAGUACUGUAUUUUGCACUUGUCUUUAUUGAAUUUCAUCGUGUUGAUUUCAGAGCAAUUUUCUAACUUGUCAAGGUCAUUUGAAUUCCAGUCCUGCC
Molecule: long non-coding RNA, 115 nt
Organism: Dermochelys coriacea (leatherback sea turtle)
Lineage: Eukaryota; Metazoa; Chordata; Testudines; Dermochelyidae
Exons: 3
Source: RefSeq, a predicted model, not a curated record